RNAcentral lists this ribosomal RNA (460 nucleotides) under uncultured bacterium. RNAcentral's name for it is "partial 16S ribosomal RNA". It matches the Rfam family "Bacterial small subunit ribosomal RNA", at positions 338 to 795 of the family's 1533-position model. The record is from RNAcentral.
CCUACGGGCGACUGCAGUGAGGAAUAUUGGUCAAUGGGCGAAAGCCUGAACCAGCCAAGUCGCGUGAAGGAUGACGGCCCUACGGGUUGUAAACUUCUUUUGUCAGGGAGCAAUUGAGUCUACGUGUAGUAUUAGCGCGAGUAACUUAAGAAAAAGCAUCGGCAAACUUAGGGCCAGCAGCCGCGGUAAUACGGGGGAUGCGAGCGUUAUCCGGAUUUAAUGGGUUUAAAGGAUUCGUAGGCGGAAUAUCAAGUCAGCGGUAAAAAUUCGGGGCUCAACCCCGUCGUGACGUUGAAACUGAUGUUCUUGAGUGGGCGAGAGGUAUGCGGAAUUCGUGGUGUAGCGGUGAAAUGCAUAGAUAUCACGAAGAACUCCGAUUGCGAAGGCAGCAUACCGGCGCCCAACUGACGCUGAAGCACGAAAGCGUGGGUAUCGAACAGGAUUAGAUACCCUUGUAGUC